Molecule: ribosomal RNA, 250 nt
Filed under: uncultured bacterium
Lineage: Bacteria
Description: partial 16S ribosomal RNA
Rfam family: Bacterial small subunit ribosomal RNA
Source: RNAcentral
UACAGAGGUCCCAAGCGUUGUUCGGAUUCACUGGGCGUAAAGGGUGCGUAGGCGGUCGGGUAAGUCUGAUGUGAAAUCUCUGGGCUCAACCCAGAAAUGGCAUUGGAUACUAUCCGGCUUGAGGAGUGGAGGGGGGACUGGAAUACUUGGUGUAGCAGUGAAAUGCGUAGAUAUCAAGUGGAACACCAGUGGCGAAGGCGAGUCCCUGGACACCUCCUGACGCUGAGGCACGAAAGCUAGGGGAGCAAAC